This 500-nucleotide ribosomal RNA is filed under the name uncultured bacterium. RNAcentral describes it as "partial 16S ribosomal RNA". It matches the Rfam family "Bacterial small subunit ribosomal RNA", at positions 30 to 523 of the family's 1533-position model. The record is from RNAcentral.
AUUGAACGCUGGCGGCAUGCCUUACACAUGCAAGUCGAACGGCAGCACGGGAGCAAUCCUGGUGGCGAGUGGCGAACGGGUGAGUAAAGUAUCGGAACGUGCCCAGUCGUGGGGGAUAACGUAGCGAAAGUUACGCUAAUACCGCAUACGAUCUAUGGAUGAAAGCGGGGGAUCGCAAGACCUCGCGCGAUUGGAGCGGCCGAUAUCAGAUUAGGUAGUUGGUGGGGUAAAGGCUCACCAAGCCGACGAUCUGUAGCUGGUCUGAGAGGACGACCAGCCGCACUGGAACUGAGACACGGCCCAGACUCCUACGGGAGGCAGCAGUGGGGAAUUUUGGACAAUGGGCGAAAGCCUGAUCCAGCCAUGCCGCGUGCAGGAUGAAGGCCUUCGGGUUGUAAACUGCUUUUGUACGGAACGAAAAGGUUUGGGCUAAUAAGCUGAGCUCAUGACGGUACCGUAAGAAUAAGCACCGGCUAACUACGUGCCAGCCGCCGCAGUAA